Molecule: ribosomal RNA, 253 nt
Filed under: uncultured bacterium
Lineage: Bacteria
Description: partial 16S ribosomal RNA
Rfam family: Bacterial small subunit ribosomal RNA
Source: RNAcentral
UACGGAGGGUGCAAGCGUUAUCCGGAUUCAUUGGGUUUAAAGGGUGCGCAGGUGGGAAUGUAAGUCAGUGGUGAAAUACUGCCGCUUAACGGUAGAACUGCCAUUGAUACUGUCAAUCUUGAGUAUAUUUGAUGUGGGCGGAAUGUGUCAUGUAGCGGUGAAAUGCUUAGAUAUGACACAGAACACCGAUUGCGAAGGCGGCUCACUGGUCCGGUACUGACGCUGAGGUGCGAAAGCGUGGGGAGCAAACAGG